This 785-nucleotide long non-coding RNA is filed under the name Salmo salar (Atlantic salmon). RNAcentral's name for it is "lncRNA (ENSSSAG00000101966.1, ENSSSAG00020079290.1)". The record is from RNAcentral. Lineage: Eukaryota; Metazoa; Chordata; Actinopteri; Salmoniformes; Salmonidae.
AGGGGAGGGAAGCACACUCUGUAAACAGGAAUAGGUGAUUCACCGGUCACUGAGCUAGUAAGCUAAAGUUAGCUAGUUAGUCACAGAAAUAUCUGCCAAUCUGCUCGGUGGAGUGUUCCAGGCCUGGAGUGGCAUGCUGGAACUUCCAGAGUCUUGUAGAGCUGAAGCAGUGUGAUGUGGUCCAGGUAUUUAUCAAACACACGUAUACACACUUACUCAUUCACUCACUCUGUUAUGUUGUAUAAUUAUGUGCAUACACUGGGUCUAUCAAGACUGACAAAGCAGAGAUGGGUGUCUGCUUUGUCAACACACACACACUCACACAAAUUAUCCACAAUGUAAAUAAGUUGUAAAUACUUGUUUAUCUACUCCUUCAUAUCCAUUCUCAAUAUCUACUGUACAUAAUUACUCUAAAUACCUCUCAAAUCAAACUGUGAUUGAUUGUAGACUAAUAUUGUAAAAGACGCAAGGGGAAACCCUACUUCAAGUCUCAGAGCGAGUGACGUCACUGAUCGAAACGCUAUUAGCGCGCACCACCGCUAACUAACUAGCCAUGUGUGUACAGUUUUAGGAAAUUCUGUGUGCUUUUUUCUGAGUUGAAAAACAUGCCUCCCACACACACAUGUAACCGAUGUGAAAUGGCUAGUUAGUUAGCGGUGGUGCGCGCUUAUAGCGUUUCAAUCAGUGACGUCACUCGCUCUGAGACUUGAAGUAGGGUUUCCCCUUGCGUUGCAAGGGCCGCGGCUUUUGUGGCGCGAUGGGUAAUGAUGCUUUGUGGGUGUCAG